AAGUCGUAACAAGGUAACCGUAGGUGAACCUGCGGUUGGAUCAUUAACAAAUUAUAGAAGCGCUUGUCCAAAAGACAGCGACUCUUGACAUUUUGUGAACUGUUUAUUGUCUCUGGUGGGUUAAAACGGUGCAGGCCGGGAGCUCGCUCUACCCACCACCUAAUUUUGAACUUGGUAGUAUCAUUUGUCUUUAAAUUUGAAAGUUUAAUUAAAAAACAACUUUUGGCAACGGAUCUCUAGGUUCUC
RNAcentral lists this unclassified non-coding RNA (246 nucleotides) under fungal sp. RNAcentral's name for it is "partial internal transcribed spacer region". The stretch from base 1 to 46 matches the Rfam family "Eukaryotic small subunit ribosomal RNA", at positions 1786 to 1831 of the family's 1831-position model. The record is from RNAcentral. Lineage: Eukaryota; Fungi.